RNAcentral lists this non-coding RNA (45 nucleotides) under Echinostoma caproni. Lineage: Eukaryota; Metazoa; Platyhelminthes; Trematoda; Plagiorchiida; Echinostomatidae. The record is from RNAcentral.
GUACAGCGGACGAGUCCCAAACAGGACGAAACAGCUGUCCAGUGC